Molecule: ribosomal RNA, 323 nt
Filed under: uncultured Bacillota bacterium
Lineage: Bacteria; Bacillati; Bacillota
Description: bacterial SSU rRNA
Rfam family: Bacterial small subunit ribosomal RNA
Source: RNAcentral
GACGAACGCUGGCGGCGUGCCUAACACAUGCAAGUCGAGCGGAGAUUGCAGUAAUGUAAUCUUAGCGGCGGACGGGUGAGUAACGCGUGGGCAACCUGCCUUGUACAGGGGGGAUAACACAGGGAAACUUGUGCUAAUACCGCAUAACACAUAGAUAUGGCAUCAUAUUUAUGUCAAAGGAGAAAUCCGGUACGAGAUGGGCCCGCGUCCGAUUAGUUUGUUGGUGGGGUAAUGGCCUACCAAGACUGCGAUCGGUAGCCGAACUGAGAGGUUGAUCGGCCACAUUGGGACUGAGACACGGCCCAGACUCCUACGGGUGGCAG